UCGAGUCAAGUUUCGGGAGCUUUGCAAGAUGAUUGGUCUUCAGGAAAUAGAGCAAGUGCACAAGUCUUAGGAGCAUUGUUGAAUAAUACCUGUGCAUCUUUAGCGUGUCAGUUUGUUUACUUGGUCACGUUGCACUAGUUUGUUGGGUGCAUUGCCGGAAUUGCUGGCUGUGCGUGGUUGAGCUUUGACGUGUGCUUGGUCCAC
RNAcentral lists this long non-coding RNA (204 nucleotides) under Setaria italica (foxtail millet). Its description in RNAcentral is "long non-coding RNA (SITA_LNC003569)". The record is from RNAcentral. Lineage: Eukaryota; Viridiplantae; Streptophyta; Magnoliopsida; Poales; Poaceae.